UAGGAUUAGAUACCCUAUUAUUCUAUAACAUAUUAUUUGUCAGAAUAAUACGAACCUUAUGUUUAAAAUUCAAAGAACUUGGCGGUGUCUAAUCAAAACAGGGGAACCUGUCCUUUAAUUCGAUAAUCCACGUCAUCAUUACCUCCCCUCACAUAGCCUGUGUACUGCCGUCGCCAGCACACCUCUAAAAGAGUGUGCAACCAAUACUAUACCAAUCAUACGUCAGGUCAAAGUGCAGCUCAUGGGAAGGAAGAGAUGGGUUACAACCUAAACAAAGAAACGAAGCUCCUAUUAAAAAAGGAAUGAAGGUGGACUUGUAAGUAAUGAGUUCAACAUAUAUUCGUGAAUAUGAAUCUAAGACAUGCACACAUC
This 372-nucleotide ribosomal RNA is filed under the name Phreodrilidae sp. P6. RNAcentral's name for it is "partial small subunit ribosomal RNA". It matches the Rfam family "Bacterial small subunit ribosomal RNA", at positions 773 to 1391 of the family's 1533-position model. Lineage: Eukaryota; Metazoa; Annelida; Clitellata; Tubificida; Phreodrilidae. The record is from RNAcentral.